RNAcentral lists this ribosomal RNA (253 nucleotides) under uncultured bacterium. Its description in RNAcentral is "partial 16S ribosomal RNA". It matches the Rfam family "Bacterial small subunit ribosomal RNA", at positions 524 to 776 of the family's 1533-position model. The record is from RNAcentral.
UACGUAGGGUGCAAGCGUUAAUCGGAAUUACUGGGCGUAAAGCGUGCGUAGACGGUUAUUUAAGUCGGAUGUGAAAUCCCCGGGCUUAACCUGGGAACUGCAGUCGAGACUGCUUUGCUUGAGUAUGGGAGAGGGAGGUGGAAUUUCCGGUGUAGCGGUGAAAUGCGUAGAUAUCGGAAGGAACAUCAGUGGCGAAGGCGACCUCCUGGACCAAUACUGACACUCAAGUGCGAAAGCGUGGGGAGCAAACAGG